AAAGGGGAGGACUUCUGCCGACAGAAGCCUUUAAUUUUUCUAAGGUUGACCUCGGAUCAGGUAGGGAUACCCGCUGAACUUAAGCAUAUCAAUAAGCGGAGGAAAAGAAACCAACAGGGAUUGCCCUAGUAACGGCGAGUGAAGCGGCAACAGCUCAAAUUUGAAAGCUGGCCUUCGGGUCCGCAUUGUAAUUUGUAGAGGAUGCUUUGGGGCAGCCGCCUGUCUAAGUUCCUUGGAACAGGACGUCAUAGAGGGUGAGAAUCCCGUAUGUGACAGGACAUGGCACCCUAUGUAAAGCUCCUUCGACGAGUCGAGUUGUUUGGGAAUGCAGCUCUAAAUGGGAGGUAAAUUUCUUCUAAAGCUAAAUACCGGCGAGAGACCGAUAGCGCACAAGUAGAGUGAUCGAAAGAUGAAAAGCACUUUGGAAAGAGAGUUAAAAAGCACGUGAAAUUGUUGAAAGGGAAGCGCUUGCAAUCAGACUUGUUUUGACUGUUCGGCCGGUCUUCUGACCGGUUUACUCAGUCUGGACAGGCCAGCAUCAGUUUUGGCGGCCGGAUAAAGGCCUAGGGAAUGUGGCUCCCGCUUCGGUGGGAGUGUUAUAGCCCUGGGUGUAAUACGGCCAGCCGGGACUGAGGU
This 636-nucleotide ribosomal RNA is filed under the name Aureobasidium thailandense. RNAcentral's name for it is "eukaryotic LSU rRNA". It matches the Rfam family "Eukaryotic large subunit ribosomal RNA", at positions 1 to 599 of the family's 3401-position model. Lineage: Eukaryota; Fungi; Ascomycota; Dothideomycetes; Dothideales; Saccotheciaceae. The record is from RNAcentral.